AGGACGAACGCUGGCGGCGUGCUUAACACAUGCAAGUCAAGGGGGCCCAGCAAUGGGCAACCGGCGAACGGGUGCGUAACACGUGAGCAACCUACCGAAAUGUGGGGGAUAGCCGGCCUAACGGCCGAGUAAUACCGCAUACGCUCUCGAUGAGGCAUUUCAUUGAGAGGAAACCUACGGGACAUUUCGAGGGGCUCGCGGCCUAUCAGCUAGUUGGAGAGGUAAUGGCUCACCAUGGCUUCGACGGGUAGCCGGCCUGAGAGGGUGACCGGUCACACUGGGACUGAGACACGGCCCAGACUCCUACGGGAGGCAGCAGUGGGAAUAUGGACAAUGGGCGAAGCCUGAUCCAGCAACGCGCGUGAGGGAUGACGGCUUCGGGUGUAAACCGUCUUUCAGUACCGACGAAGCGCGAAGUGACGGUAGGUACAGAAGAAGCACCGGCCAACUACGUGCCAGCGAGCCGC
Molecule: ribosomal RNA, 467 nt
Filed under: uncultured soil bacterium
Lineage: Bacteria
Description: bacterial SSU rRNA
Rfam family: Bacterial small subunit ribosomal RNA
Source: RNAcentral